Molecule: ribosomal RNA, 497 nt
Filed under: uncultured bacterium
Lineage: Bacteria
Description: partial 16S ribosomal RNA
Rfam family: Bacterial small subunit ribosomal RNA
Source: RNAcentral
GACGAACGCUGGCGGCGUGCCUAAUACAUGCAAGUUGAGCGCUGAAGGUUGGUACUUGUACCAACUGGAUGAGCAGCGAACGGGUGAGUAACGCGUGGGGAAUCUGCCUUUGAGCGGGGGACAACAUUUGGAAACGAAUGCUAAUACCGCAUAAAAACUUUAAACACAAGUUUUAAGUUUGAAAGAUGCAAUUGCAUCACUCAAAGAUGAUUCCGCGUUGUAUUAGCUAGUUGGUGAGGUAAAGGCUCACCAAGGCGAUGAUACAUAGCCGACCUGAGAGGGUGAUCGGCCACAGUGGGACUGAGACACGGCCCAAACUCCUACGGGAGGCAGCAGUAGGGAAUCUUCGGCAAUGGACGAAAGUCUGACCGAGCAACGCCGCGUGAGUGAAGAAGGUUUUCGGAUCGUAAAACUCUGUUGGUAGAGAAGAACGUUGGUGAGAGUGGAAAGCUCAUCAAGUGACGGUAACUACCCAGAAAGGGACGGCUAACUACGUG